UAGGACAAGGCUUAUUUGGGAUAACUUUUCAGUAGAAGAUUUAAGACUAGGAGGAAGAAAAAUGGUAUCGUCUUCCAUAAUAAAAUCUAGCAAUGAAUGGUCACAAAAUUAGCCGCUGAUAACAUUAUUUUGGACCUGCUGCUUUAUAAUACUCCUACUAUCUCUAUUUUAAAAAGAAUGGCUUAUUUUUCUUUCUUAUUCGUUUUAAAAAAAUUAUCUCUUUUUCUUUUUAAUAAUAUUUUAAUUUUAACUUUUCACAUUGACCACAAAUUUAAAAGAUAUUUUGAUAUAUUUGAUACUACUUUAAUUAAGACAUCCAGAUUCAAAAAUUUUAUUUAUUUUCUGUAUUAUUUUUUCUAAAUAGUAAAAUGAAUGGAGCGCGCUCUUGUUCAUCCUCCCCCUUUUUCUAUAUGCUAUAUUCCUUUUUUUUUUCCGCCGAGACGCCGACCACUGUUUGCGAAUUAGCUAGUGUGAGCUUGUGUUUGGAAGAAUCAAAACUUUGUUCAGAGCCACCACACAUAACACCAAGGUGGUUGUGAAUUUGGAGACGUAGCCUAUUUGAAACCUUCGUUGCAAUCGAGGUCUGAAGCAACAACGGAUGGGAUGUCUUCUUUGUCCUAAUUUUAUUCAUGUGAGCUUUAGAUUCAGAUUUAGAAGUUUCAUUUUCGUCAACUUCUCCUCCAUCUCCACCACCAUCUAUGUCGGCAUUGAAUCUAGGUUUUUGCGGUGAUUGAGAUUGUUGUCAAAUGACAUAAAUGUCCUCAGAAGGGCUGUGUGGUGGACGAAAUAUGAAAAAUGACAAAAUUGCCCUUGGCCUAAGCUGACGGGACAAUCGUCUUUUGUCUGCUUUAAGCCACUUAUAUAUAUUAGUAUUAUAACCGAUUAACCUUUCAUUGUCCACUAUAAUUGCAAUUUAUCAACUAUAAAAUGUACAUCUAUGGAUGUUUUAUGGCAUCAAA
This is a long non-coding RNA of Capsicum annuum, 959 nucleotides long. RefSeq lists it as uncharacterized. Lineage: Eukaryota; Viridiplantae; Streptophyta; Magnoliopsida; Solanales; Solanaceae. The transcript has 2 exons. The record is from RefSeq and is a predicted model, not a curated record.